GGGAGGCCGGGGGGAGGCGGGGGCGCCGGAGCUGGGCUGCCUCUUACCUAUCAGGUAAGACUGACCCACGGGAGGGAGGUUUCUAGUCAAGGCUGUUUCCCCCAGGAAAUUUAAAAGCUAGAUUUCGGCUUCAGGGCGAUAGGCCAUGGUGAGGGGAUCUGUGUUUUUGUAAGGUUUUUCUAAAGGACUUCUGGGCCAGCCUUCCACCUUGGGAUCCCCAGAUUUGCUGCCGUGAGGUACCUGGAAGGAACAGAGGGACGCCCAAGGGCAGUGACUGGGGGCAGUUAUGGUCACUGCAAAAGGAGAACAGGGAUCCCCAGGAAGUGUCUCACGUCCGGCGCUGUGGAAUUAGCUGCUGAUCAAGUAGAGAGAAAAUGUAAAUAUCACCUUUUCUCCUGCUCCCCUUGCCCAUCCGAGUGAUGGGGGGACUCACACCUAAGGCUGAGGGCAUGGGGGAGGGGAAAUGAGAGGUCCCUUAUCAUAUUCCGAAGUCUAUCCGUGACUCUAAAAAGCUGUUAGGGACCUUCAGAGGGUUCAUAAGGCCAAAACCCUACUGUGCAAAUAUUGGCUGAAAUGUUUGUUUCACACACAGCUCCCACACCCAUUGAACCACCCUAUAAAUUUUUAACCUUGACCACAAGGAUAAUAGGGAGAAAACAAGGAUGGUGCCAGCUCAACUGUACAGGAAAAUGGGUACUUCAUGAGUGGACCAGAUCAGCAGCCUGGGUCUACUUGAAGCGCCCCUUUCAGGGUCACCUUGCGGUAUCAGUCUCCCCACAAACAAACGCUCCCCAAAGUUUUUUUAUUUUUUAAGCUGACCUAUAAACAAGCAGUUUGUCCCUGCUUGCUCGCCUGGCACUAAGGACCCACAGAGAUGUCACUCGGUUUAAUGCUGUCUCAUUUUGAUGCCUGGCCCGUUUGGGGUUGCCGCCCCUUUACUACGCCGGGACCCUUCUCGGUCUCAGGCUCCCAGGCACUGCAGGAUGCUGGCAGGGCACUCAGCAGUCGAGGCGCUGGGCAUGCUCAGUGACCGGGACCCGCCGGGCCGCGGGGGAGCGCGCCUCGGCCCAAUGCGGACUGAGGGGCGGAGCGAGUUUCCCGGGGAGGCCUGCUGAUUGGUGAGAUGGCCUGUUUUUCAAGCCUUGCACUGCAGAGGGAAGGUGGGGGUAGAAGGGUUGAGGGUACCAAGGUAGGUUGCAAAGCGUAGUAAAAAAAGAAAAAGAAGAAGAUGAUGAUGAUGAAGGAGAAGAAGAACCAUAGGCGCCAUUCAGAGGCGUGCGAUACGUAAAUUAGGGGGAUUGGGCAUCUGCAGAGGGGCUCCUCCCCACCCAAGCCUGGGAGCCUCUCGUUUCUCCUCUCCCUUUCCUGUUCCCGGUCGUCAUGCAGCCUCAUCUAAACCUGGUUAAUCUAUAAUUUGAGUACACAUGUUGAGUUGAAAGCCCUCCCUUCUUUUCCUCUGACAGCUUGGUGAUGUGGGCACACGUGCCCACUACAGCAAGGCUAUUAAUAGCAGAUAUUUGGAAAUGGAAGCGAGGCGGCACUCACAGUGACCGAAAUUCUGGGGGUAUAGAGUGCCUUAUAGGGGGUAGGGCAGGGAGGUGCAGAAUAAAGAAGCCUGAAGUUGGUGGAAAAGUGUAACUGUGUGCCUGAUUUUACCCUAGACAAGAAAAAAGAGAGAUUAUAAAAGGGUUGUUUACUAGUAACAUUGUAAUCCAGAUAAGGCCAAAGGGCUUUUUACAGGUUUGAUGUUUAGCUCUGGGAUGGGGGUAGUGGAGUACUUAACAUUUUGUAAGAUAACAAAUCAAAUCCAUAGACAUUUACUUUUCAAAUGGCCCUGUCCCUACCUCCGUCCCUCCACCCCCCACCCCCCAAAAAAAAGCUAAAUAAAGGUACCAUACCUCUAUGGGGGAAAAAAUACUCUUUUCUGGAAGGAGGGGAGGGUUGGAAAAUUUAUUUGCACGUACUUUACAAUUAUCUUCAUAGGAAGGAUUUUGAUCAUAAAAAGCUAAUUAUGAUAAUAAACCUCUUAAGAAAUAUAUAUCUCAGUGUUAAAGCAUUUCUGCUUUAAAAAACACAAUUUUAGUUGCUAAAUAUUCGAUAAAAAUUAUGAAAUAAGCCUCACUACUGUGACAAAUUAUGUUCAGACCAAUGGGGUUUCCUAUGGAAGAUAAUCACUGAUCAUAGGAUAUUAGUUCCAUUUUUUCUACUUGCUGAUGUUUUACUACCAAUUUAAAGGUGGUUAAUAUUUGUUAUAAUUAUACUACAGUAAAUUCAAUUGUUCUCUACAAUUGUUUUAUUAAUGGGCUAACUGGAAAUGCAUUUACAUUUGGUUCAUGUAAUAUAUAGAAUAGAAAGAGACGCGUUUGUGGGAACUCACUGAAGUAAUGCUGAGCAGGUAUGGGUAUUAUUCUGUCACCUAAGCUAAAUUAGUCUUUUGGUGUAUCGUAAUGAAAUACACUGUAUGAAAAAUUUACUCCCUACUGAAAAUUCACGGAACAGAAGAACAAGCUAUUACCAAAAUCUGUUGCUCAAUGCUGCCAUCUAUAGGAGAGUUAGAGCCGAUUUGUGUAAUAUGCUAAGGUUCAUUUUAAAAGAGGGCUAAAAUAGUGAUUCAUCACAACAUUGCAACAGCUACGUUGAUGUCACUAAUACAGUCCUAAUUCAAGGAGUUAAGGGUUUACAUGCUAUGGAUGCACUUUGGGGCAAUGGGUCUACAACUAGCUUUAAAAUUGAAUUAUUGGUUUAUGUAUGAUACUAUCAGGAAAAUAAUGCAAAAUUUAUAGAUUAUUACAUAUAUCUGUAAAGUGCUUGAGUUGGGUGGAUGUAAAACUAAACAUUUCAAAAUUAUAAAACACUUUUUGUAUCAAAACAUGUUUUCCUUAAGAUAUAUGGUCAAACUGGAGGAGCUAUUUAAAUACUGGCAUCUCUUAGAAUUAAUUUUGACAAUUUAGAACAGUGCUUGAAGGACAAUUGAAUGUGGAUUUUCUCACUUUAAGAUCUGUUUUUAUUUUAAGAUGGCUCAAUAGUAAUAAGCAUUUGAAUGCCUACUCUGCAAGGCAGUAUGAAAUAUAUAAAAAGACAGCUUCUUACAGCUUUGAUGGGGUAAUAAGAGAGUACAAAAUAACAAUAGUUGAUGACUAAAAUGUGUGUGUGUGAGAGAGAGAAAGAGAGAGAUGUCAAAUAACAAACAAGUGGUAUUUACUUUCAUGAUGGAUGAAAUAACUACUUAAUUUUUACAGAAGAGAGGAGCCUUAAGCUUGAACUUGAAAUGGGCUAUAACUCAGAUAAAUGGCAAUUAUUUUUUCCCACUCAAGUUUUUUGGAACUUCUACUUGUGUUAGGCACUAGGCUGGACACUGAGGAUUUAGAUAUCAAAGACAUGCUGCCCACAGGAAACUUACAUUGAAAAUGGCAGAUGGACACAAUUGCAGAGCACUAUAAUCUCUUUUGUGGAAAAAAUAGGCACAGGGCAAAUGAGAUCACAUAACAACCAAUUGCCUUCUGACAUAAACAUUAUCAGUUACAGACAGUGCAAUUUGGGAAUCUGAAAGAUGCCUCUUCCCUUAAAUACUUUGUUUUCUCAAGUAAUUAAAAUCUUUCAUCUGUUUAAUUUAAAAAAUAUAUAAAAUAGGCCAAUUAAAAGUGAGCUGAAAAGUCACACUUGGCUUGUAAAUCAGCUAGAUCAGAGCUUCUCCAACCUGAGGAUCUUGUUAAAAUGCAGGUUCUGGUUAAAUGCAGAAGGUCAAGGGCAGUCUGAGGCAUUGCAUUUUUAACAUACUCUAGGUGAUGCUGAUUCUGCUGGGUGAGUAGCAUAGUUCUAAUGACUGAUGAUUAAUUGAAAGAUAAUUAAUUUGGUGCUGUGACAUGCAAGCAAGGCACUUAUACUUUAGUAUUAUAUACAUAUACAAAGAGAACAACAGCAAGAAAAAUCCUACUUAACUGAGGCUUCAUUGUAUUUGGGCUCCUCUCUUUUCAAUCACAGGCAUCAAAUCUUUCUGGUAAGCAUGAAGAGUUAUUAUCAAACAGUUGUGUUAGUGUUUUCCAAGGUGUAAUUAAAAAUAGAGAUUUCUUACCUCAUCCCAGUCCUACUGAACCAAAAUCUCUUAGGGAAGGAUGGGCCCCCCAGCAUUUGCAGUUUAAGCAGCAUUACAAGAGAUUAUUAUUUACAUUAAAAUUUAAGAAUCAUUGGCUUAAACACAAACAAAAACAUGUAAUUAUAUUCUUCCAGAAUUGGCAAAUGCACAGCCUUAACCAGUCAACAAACAUCUUCACCUGUGGGCUGUUUACUACAGCUGGGUGAAGCAGGGAAUGACCCAAACCUGCAUGAGUCUCCCAAUAAGAAAUGAUUUUUCCUUUGAAGAAAAUCAAUUACUGGCAAUCAGCUAGUGAGAAUCCAGUUCUGCUCUCCUCUUGAUUUCAUCCCUCAUCUCUUCUAGAUAACUGAGGGAAAAUGAAUGCACCAAGAACUAACAUGGGAUUUUGGAAAGAUAGUAAUGCCCUCAACAGAUGAUUUCAAAACAUUUGCUGUUUGGGGAGCAAAUAAAGCAUGAAAUAAACAGAUGGAUGAGGUUGGAAGAAAGGAGAGAGGAAAUUAAAAUUUUAAGGGCUAAUUCCCCUUCAUUCAAGAAAUAUUUACUAUGAUGAAGACAUGUUCCAUGCAGAGGAAAUGGCCAAUGCAAAGAGCCCCUGACUGGAGGGCAUUUGGCACAUUCUAGGAGAGUGAGGAGGAUUCUAUGGGCCAGGAAUUCAGACAGGGCACUGUGUUGAUGGCUUGUCUGUGUCCCGGCUGGAAUGGCUCAAAUGGUUGUGUGACUAUUUGACUUGAAAGGCUGGAGCCUGGAAUCAUUUGAAACAUUGUUCACUCAUGUGUCUGGCACCUGGGUUAGAAUGACUGAAGGCUACAUCAACUAGAGUACUUACAUCUGGUCUCUCCAUGUGACUUGGACUUUUCACAGCGUGGAGGCUGGAUUUCAAAGGUGAGCGUCUGAAGAGAGACCAUCUCAAGAGUUAACAUGCCAAGAGGGAGCUUCUAGAGAGGAGGUGUUCCAAGAGAAUCAGACAGAAGUUGUGUAGCCUUUUAUGACCUUACCUCAGAAGUCAGAGCUUCAUUUCUACUGUAUGUAUCCUAUUGAUCAAAGUAGACACGAGCCCACCCAGAUAAAAGGGCAGGGAACCUAGACCACAGUUCUUGAUGGAAGUAGUGUCAAAAAAAAAAAAAAAAAACUUGUAGUCAUUGUUUUAAACUACCACAGAUUGAAAUACUGUGGCUGAACAGGAAUGGGGAAGAUGGGAGAAGAUCAGGAGUUUGGUUCUAGACAUGCUGAGUUUCAGGUGCUUAUUGAUCCUCCGAGUGGAGAUAUCAAGUAGGCAUUUGUAUAUAUAAACUAGAGUUGAAAAGAUGAGUCUGGGCUCAGGUAUAAAUGUAAAGGUUGUCAGCCUAUGAGUAGGAUUUAAAGCCCAUGAUACUGGAUAAAAUCAUCAAGAAAGAGAAAGUAGAUAGAGAAAAGAAGAGGACAAAGAUGCCAGCAAGGGAGACAGAAGAACAACCAGUAAAGUUGCUCUCUUUUAGGCAGGAAGACACCAUAUCAGGAAAAAGAGAGUGAACAACUGAGUCAAUUGCUGCUGUUGGUCAAGUCAGAAGAAGACUUGGAAUUAACAUAAGAUCUAGCGUCAUGUUUGUGUUAUGUGUAAGAUAUUAACAUUGAUCGCAGAUGCACACAAUGUUUAUGAUCUGACUGAAUUCUUUAGUGGAAUCAUAAAAGUUCAACACACUCAGAUGUGUACAGUAGGUUAGUAGAGUUUGUAGGGAUAAUUAUUAUGGCAAUAUAUUUUAUAUUUCCUAAAUAACUUUAACUUGAAAAAUUCCUGUGAGGAUAGAGAUACUAAAGUACAGUGCAUGCUAUGUUUAGUCUCACUAUGCAAUUUAGUCUUCUUGUCUCUAAGAUUAGACUUCUAAACAUUCUUAAGAUUUUGAGAAAGAGAGGGAGAGAGAGAGAUACUCAUAUUAAUAGGAAAAAUUACCAAGAUAUGUCCUAAUUUUUAAACCAAAUAUUUUAAAAUAUUUUAGACAAACGUUUAUAUGUAGGAAUCUACUUCUAGAUUUAUUAGUCUUUGCUGAUUUAAAACUUUACAAAAUAACAAAUAAUAUCUUUCACCUUUUUAAAAACUAUUUUAAAAGAUUAAUGUAAGGUAAUUUAGUGCAAAAGACAAAUAUCAAUACCAACACCUAGUUUUAAGUUGGAAAAUGUGAAAUAAAAUCUUAUGUAAAAUACAUCAAUACCCAACAAUAUAAUAAUAAUGUAACAUAAAAUUACCAUGUCAUUGGUGGGACACACAAUUUACUAAAGUGUAAAAACCAUAACAUAACUCUUGGAAUCUCUAUAGAACUACAAAAUAUAGUUGAUGCUUGAACAAUGCAGGCAUUAGGAGUGGCAACUCCACAAAGUUGAAAAUCUGCAUAUAUCUUUAGACUCUCCAAAAACUUAACUUCUAAUAGCCUACCAUUGACCAGAAACUGUACUGAUAAUGCAGUAGAUUAGUGCAUAUUUUGUAUCUGCAUUAUGUACUGUAUUUUUAAAAUAAAAUAAUCUAGGGAAAAGUGAAUAUUGACGGGGCACGGUGGCUCAUGCCUGUAAUCCUAGCACUUUGGAAGGCUGAGGUGGGUGGAACACCUAAGGCUGGGAGUUCAAGAUCAGCCUGGCCAACAUGACAAAACCCCGUCUCUACUAAAAAUAUAAAAAUUAGCUGGGUUUGGUGGCAGGCACCUAUAUUCUCAGCUACUUGUAAGGCUGAGGCAGGAAAAUCGCUUGAACCCAGGGAGGCGGAAGUUGCAGUGAGCCGAGAUCACACCACUUCACUCCAGCCUGAGCAAAAGAGCAAGACUCCAUCUCAAAAAAAAAAAAAAAAAAGUGAAUGUUAAGAGAAUCAUAAGGAAAAGAAAAUAUAUUUACUACUCAUUAAGUGAAAGUGGAGCAUCCUAAAGAUCUUCAUCCUCAUCAUUUUCAGAUUGAGUAGGCUGAGGAGGGGGAAGAAGAAGAGGGCUUCGUCUUGCUGUCUCAGUGGUGGCAGAGGCAUAAGAAAAUCUUGGAUAAAUGGAUCCAUGCAGUUCAAACCCCUGUUGUUCAAGGGCCAGCUGUAUGCUUAAACACAUCCCUGGGGGUUGUAAAACUAAUGUUACUGUUGUUUUCAUUUUGCAAUUUUUCCAUUUUGAUAUAAAAGCAAAAGUACAGCUAAUCCAUGUACAAUUUAUUAUAGGCCAACUGAGAAUAGCAGAGGACUCAUCCCACCUUUCCCACAUGGUGACUUGCCCCACUCCCCCAGGUGACCUUGCUUGUGCAUGUGGAUAUUUGCUCAGAUUAGCAAUGUUUCCCACAAAAUUGCUUGCUCUCUUUCAUUCUGUCCGUGGUUGGUUGUGGUUUAUUUGUUGAUAACUGAGACUAUUUAAAAAUUGCCAAAACAAAAGCCAUUUCUUUUCUCCCCGAAUAGCCUCAUUUUUUCUAUUCCCUGUUUCCCCUCCUAUUACAUUUCCAGGGACUCUAAAACAGAGCUCAUGAUGGUUCAGGACCACGGAGAGCGCAAGGAAGGGGAACUACCGAAGCAUUUUAGUCCUGCGGGUGGGGAAAGAGAUGAUCCUAAAAUUGUUUUUAUUUUUUUGUUUUUUUUGAGAGGGAGUCUCGCUCUGUCACCCAGGCUGGAGUGGAGUAGCACGAUCUUGCCUCACUGCAACCUCUGCCUCCUGGGUCCAAGCGAUUCUAGCGCCUCAGCCUCCUGAGUAGCUGGGAUUACAGGUGUGCACCACCAUGCCCAGCUAAUUUUUUGUAUUUUUAGUAGAGACAGGGUUUUGCCAUGUUGGCCAGGCUGGUCUCCAAUUCCUGACCUCCAGUGAUCCACCCCCCUCAGUCUCCCAAAGUGCUGGGAUUACAGGCGUGAGCCACCACGCCCGGCCAAUCCUGAAAUUGUUGCUGGACAAUAUUUAUUUAAAAGACAUUAUUGUAAAGAGUAACAGUGGAAUUCUGGCUCCUUGAAAUUUGAGCGGAAUGAUUUUUCUGGACAUUCGGCCGGUGCUUUCUAAGUUUCUCCACUGAAUUCUAUCUAAUGACAGAUGAGAGGACACUGAAAGUAGGAGUAGCCAUAAGUCAUCAGUGCAAAAUGUCUUUUGAAGUUUGCAUUUAUUGAUUGCUACCAUUUAUGUAAAGUUUUACAGUUUUGACAGUCAUAGGGUGCACCAAUCCACCAUAGAAGAGAAUUAAGUCAUGCGGACACAGGAGGGUUUAGAAUGGAUGAGUAGAGGAGUGUGUGCAGGCUCCAAUCCCCAAAGUCUCUAGGACUGUCCUAGAACCUGCAGCUCAUCUGUUAAUUCUGUCAACUACCCAGGAUCCUCUCAAGAAUUAUCCCCCCACACCCACCUUUUAAAUUUCCUCGAGCUAGUUUCAUUUGAGUUUUGUCACUUGCAACUGAAUGAGCCCUGCUAAUGCAGAUAGAUUCAAUUGAGAAGGGGAAUUCUAGGCUAGGAGUACAAGGUUACAGGCAAGGAGACAGGAACAUAGCUUGGGAUUUCCUGGGGCAGUGAGAAAACUGACUUUAAAAAAAUGGAAUGGUUUCCAAAGUGUUUGUACAACUUUUCUGUAUGGCAAUGGGUAGGAGUAUAAAUUCUUUCAGCUUCUUCUGAGGGCAGUUGAACAAGAAGUAUAAAAAUUUUGAAUGCUGAUAGCAUUUGACCUAGCAAUUCCACCUCUAGAAAUAAAUUCUACAGUAGUAAUCUUAAAAACGUAUUCACUGAAAUGUUAUUUUAUCAUAGAAAAUGUCGAAACAGCAUACGUGUCCAUCAAUAGAGAACUUGCUAAAUGAUUUAUACUAUCUUUACAUAUUGAAAUAUGCAUAGCCAUGGAAGAUAAUUUAGUAGAUCUAUAUGUCCCAUUAUGGAACAAUCCCCAUGGGGGGAAAAAAGUAAGGUGCAGAACUGUAUCAUAGAUGUUCUCUCUCUCUGUCUCUCUCUUUUUUUUUUUUUUUUGGAAAGCACAUGUAUGCUUUUAUAGACACAGAAAAAUUCUAGAAUGGCAAACAAGAUAUCUUUGCAAUAGUUUUUUUCUGGGAGGGGAUUCAUUUAAAAAAAAUUCUCCCAUAUUGCUUGUUUUGUUUUGUUAAACACAUCCAUGUAUUCCUACUUGGGUUAAGCCAUGAUAACUAAAUAUGAUUAAAGUACAGAACAAUAAAAACGUUAGAGAUGUAUACGUAAAUAUCACUUCCUUAGGAAUUUCUAGGUAGGUACUAUUUUAAGCCCUCUACAUAUAUUAUUUCAUUCAAUCCUUGGAGCAACUCUAGGAGGGAGGUGUUAUCCUCUAAUUGCAGAUGAGCUUGAUGAAACUUAAAGAGUAAUGAUGCCUUGAGUCCAUCCUCUGGCUCCAAAGCCCUUGUAUUUAACUGUUCUCCCUUUUGCAUCCCUGUGCUAAGGUGACUUUGCUAUAAUAUCCACAAGGAAGAAUUUCUGUGUAAAAACUAGAUUUCCUUGCAGGCAGUCUAUCAGUGAUAUCCAAUAAAGACUCAAUAAUGGCUAACAAUACAAACCACACACACAAGAAAAACUUCUCCUUUUGUACCAGGUACUUAGAUUAGGUGCAGUGGUUUUCUUAAACUGAUUAUCAAGGUAAACACCGCCUCACACAUUUCAGCAGAGAGCAGUGGUUUCUCUCUCCAGCAGUGGGAGCCAUUGAAUCAGGACAAUGCCACACAGUUGGGCUUUCAUGUUAGAUAGAUCACUCUUGUGGUUUUAGGGGAUGGCAUUAUAAGAGAGGAGAUUGGAGACAGGGGGGCUAUUGUCAUGCAGAUUUGUUGGAUGUCCACCCAGCAUUCACUUUUUCCAUCUUUUGCCAGGAAUACACUACAUAGUAUCACCAGUCAUUUUAUAGAAUGGCAAUUAGAUUAGGCUUAUGUCUGCACUGCCUUACUUCACUCAGCUCUGUCACUUGCCAUCACUGCAAAUGCCGACAACUUAGUGCCUUUCAUGCUUCAAGUAUCAAUAAGAUAGGAAUAGUAAUAGUAUCACAUUGAAUUAUUGUGGAGUUUUGAACAGAUGAUACUUCUGUUAUCGUGCUCAAUAAAUAUUAGCUGUCUUCCUCCUUAUUGUUGUUGUCCUCAACUAUGUAUUUUAAAUGGGAUUAGUCACACCACUCCUCAUGUACCCCACCCAUUAAUACCUGACUCCUUUGCAAAACAAAGCUUAGCAUAUAGUGGUGGGGAUUACAAAAUCGUUACAGAAAUUUCAUAUGUAAAGAAGAGGCAAGAGUUGGCCAGUUUGACACUUCCUUAACCUAUUUUAUUUUUCUUAAAUAUUACAAUAUCACCAGAUAUACUUUCUAUUUAUUUCCUCUCUGAGAGUAUGCAAUUUGUCUGAUUUGUUGGUUUUUGGGUGAGUGAUAAAUACGAGUUCAAUAAAGGGGGUGAAGAAAUCAUUCCAUGAGUGGGACUGCAUGAACAAUGGAGAAAAGUCAUGAAGGAAAGAUGACAUUCCGUGUGGACUGGAGUAAAGUGAACAUGAUGCCUUGUCUAUAAAGGGGAUCAUACAUUUAAAGCAUUCAGCAACCUGUAACCAACACAACAGUCAUUCCAAGAAGAAGAGAGUAUGAGCUUUUAGAGGGGAAGAAAAUACACAUUGGUGAUGCAGGUGGCCAAGACAGGUGCUGCACACACUGGAUUACAGCAUGGAAGAGGAGCCCAGGGUCAUGGAGGCACCCAGCAAGUGGCAAAAUAUGGGCACCUUGACCUACUGGGUUGCCUAUGUGACCAGCUACAGAAGCUACUCAGUAUCAGGAGCUGGAGCUGCCUGCAAUCUGGCCACUCAGCAAGAAUUUUCAGAGACUGUUUCUAUCCCAUAGUGGAUGCUCCUUCCAACACCAUUCUUUUAAAGUGCGCACAUCUGAUCACUUUCCAAGUAUAAAUGGCCUGAAUUUAUUUUCCUUUGUUUACCAAAAUCCAACCUAAGUAAUUUUUUUCUUUCCAUACUCCUUAUUCAUGAACCCUAAUUGUUGGUAACUUUGAGAGCACUGGUCGUCUUAAUUUCUUACCACUAAUGACAUGACAGGUCAAUUUCUGUAAUAAGUACAGCUGAAAUUAUUUUUCUAUCUUCUAACAUAAUAUUUUGUCUUGAAUGCUUUGCUAGAAUCUUCCUUCUGGAAUCCCACUUUUUAUGU
Molecule: long non-coding RNA, 11185 nt
Organism: Pongo pygmaeus (Bornean orangutan)
Lineage: Eukaryota; Metazoa; Chordata; Mammalia; Primates; Hominidae
Exons: 4
Source: RefSeq, a predicted model, not a curated record